UUAAAAAGACUUAUUUAGGUGGUGCAAUGGCCAAAACAGGUUUCUUUCCGGAAGGGAAACUUUAGGUUUUUUAACUCUGAUAUUGUUCGUCAAUCUUACAUCGCGCUGAUUAGACUAUUUAAAAAAACAAGUAUUAUCUUAAACUAAUUUUGAAUAAGAAAGUUGGGUUUGAAAUCUCAUCCUGUUUGGUACGCAUUGGUUCGCUACACCAGUAUCCCCAUAUUUGUAUAUUUGCAGGGGAUUUUACUGAGCAUAUUCAGCCUCAUCUUUCAAAAAGGGUACAUCCACGGUUACUUGUUCCAAUAGAGAUUUAGUGUUCCAAUUGACUUGUAGAGUACUAGAAGUAUCUCGCCAUGAAGCUUUUAACGAUUCCUAAUAUGAUUUCAACAAUAACUGUUUCAUUCGUUUUCAUUUUUUCCGAAGUAUUUUGCGUGCCUUAUUACUACGACCACUACAACUACUACGACUCCUACGAAAGAUUUUUAUAUAGGUCUAGUUAUCAGCAUUGUUGGUCACCGGAAGAAACAUUUUUCAAUGGGCAAUGUGUUUGUAUUGAUUGUACCAAACAUUGUCCAAAUAACAUGCAACUGUUUGACGGACCAUACAAAAAAGGGGGUCCAGUAGGUGUUUUUUAGUUCCGGUAAAAGAACGGAAGGCGUCCACUCUGAUACCUAUCAUUAAGCAUUUUAUUCUACCCGGCACGCUUAUUUUAUCAGAUUGUUGGAUGGCUUACAGCAAGUUGAAUCUAGCGGAAUACGAACGCGAAACUGUAAACCACUCCCGAUUCUACAAAGACCCAGUUACCGGCGUGCACACGAAUACAUUAGAAGGUAUGUGGGCUCACGCUAAACGGGAUUUCAUUAAGGGAGGACGACCAAAACGACACAUGUACGGUUACCUGGCUACUUUUAUGCUGAAACGGAAGCUGGCUGGUUAGCCAGGUAAAACGUUUGUCGAUUUUUAUCAUUAUGGCUCACGACUGUGUCGAUGUUGGAUACCCGCGACCACCACCUCCAUAUUCCAGAGGCCCACUCUGAACUUGAUGAUUCAUCAGGCUUUGAACCAUAUGACGACAUCGAUGACUUCCGGGAGUUGCUGAUGGGGUGGGUAGGUGGAGAAGAAGAUAUCUUCACCUUCCCGGAUACCUUCUCUUUAGCCAAACGCCGCCAGAUCCACUACAUCUGUGAUAAGCUCAAGCUCGUUCACAAGAGCACCGGCAAAGGCGAUUCAAGAAGGCUGGUUGUCACGGAGGUCCCAAUAACUCCCAAUGGAGUCAUCUGCGUGAUUUCCUCCGUGACUCCAACAUGACAUUCCCGACAGAUCGGUCAACACUUCUCCAACAGUUCCUGUUUUAGCCAUUGAAUAUCCUCAAUCAGAUGUUCGACGUGUCACCAACUAAUAUAGAGCCCAGAGCAAGCAAACGCCAAAAGAAAUUACCACCUCAUUUAGCGAUUUAUCAGUUAUGACCAAUUCAUUUUUUACUUUA
Molecule: long non-coding RNA, 1486 nt
Organism: Daphnia pulicaria
Lineage: Eukaryota; Metazoa; Arthropoda; Branchiopoda; Diplostraca; Daphniidae
Exons: 3
Source: RefSeq, a predicted model, not a curated record